This 917-nucleotide ribosomal RNA is filed under the name uncultured bacterium. RNAcentral's name for it is "bacterial SSU rRNA". It matches the Rfam family "Bacterial small subunit ribosomal RNA", at positions 8 to 916 of the family's 1533-position model. The record is from RNAcentral.
AGAGUUUGAUCCUGGCUCAGGAUGAACGCUACCUACAGGCUUAACACAUGCAAGUCGAGGGGAAACGAUAGAGAAAGCUUGCUUUUUCUAGGCGUCGACCGGCGCACGGGUGAGUAACGCGUAUCCAACCUGCCCAUCACUUGGGGAUAACCUUGCGAAAGUAAGACUAAUACCCAAUGACGUCCAUAGAAGACAUCUGAAAUGGAUUAAAGAUUUAUCGGUGAUGGAUGGGGAUGCGUCUGAUUAGCUUGUUGGCGGGGUAACGGCCCACCAAGGCGACGAUCAGUAGGGGUUCUGAGAGGAAGGUCCCCCACAUUGGAACUGAGACACGGUCCAAACUCUACGGGAGGCAGCAGUGAGGAAUAUUGGUCAAUGGACGAGAGUCUGAACCAGCCAAGUAGCGUGCAGGAUGACGGCCCUAUGGGUUGUAAACUGCUUUUAUAAGGGAAUAAAGUGAGAGUCGUGACUCUUUUUGCAUGUACCUUAUGAAUAAGGACCGGCUAAUUCCGUGCCAGCAGCCGCGGUAAUACGGAAGGUCCGGGCGUUAUCCGGAUUUAUUGGGUUUAAAGGGAGCGUAGGCCGGAGAUUAAGCGUGUUGUGAAAUGUAGACGCUCAACGUCUGCACUGCAGCGCGAACUGGUUUCCUUGAGUACGCACAAAGUGGGCGGAAUUCGUGGUGUAGCGGUGAAAUGCUUAGAUAUCACGAAGAACUCCGAUUGCGAAGGCAGCUCACUGGAGCGCAACUGACGCUGAAGCUCGAAAGUGCGGGUAUCGAACAGGAUUAGAUACCCUGGUAGUCCGCACGGUAAACGAUGGAUGCCCGCUGUUGGUCUGAAUAGGUCAGCGGCCAAGCGAAAGCAUUAAGCAUCCCACCUGGGGAGUACGCCGGCAACAGUGAAACUCAAAGGAAUUGACGG